RNAcentral lists this ribosomal RNA (582 nucleotides) under Talaromyces funiculosus. RNAcentral's name for it is "eukaryotic LSU rRNA". It matches the Rfam family "Eukaryotic large subunit ribosomal RNA", at positions 1 to 585 of the family's 3401-position model. Lineage: Eukaryota; Fungi; Ascomycota; Eurotiomycetes; Eurotiales; Trichocomaceae. The record is from RNAcentral.
UUGACCUCGGAUCAGGUAGGAGUUACCCGCUGAACUUAAGCAUAUCAAUAAGCGGAGGAAAAGAAACCAACCGGGAUUGCCUCAGUAACGGCGAGUGAAGCGGCAAGAGCUCAAAUUUGAAAUCUGGCCCCUUUGGGGUCCGAGUUGUAAUUUGCAGAGGAUGCUUCGGGUGCGGUCCCCGUCUAAGUGCCCUGGAACGGGCCGUCAUAGAGGGUGAGAAUCCCGUCUGGGAUGGGCGGCCGUGCCCGUGUGAAGCUCCUUCGACGAGUCGAGUUGUUUGGGAAUGCAGCUCUAAGUGGGUGGUAAAUUUCAUCUAAAGCUAAAUACUGGCCGGAGACCGAUAGCGCACAAGUAGAGUGAUCGAAAGAUGAAAAGCACUUUGAAAAGAGAGUUAAACAGCACGUGAAAUUGUUGAAAGGGAAGCGUUGUCCACCAGACUCGCCCGGGGGGGCUCAGCCGGCACGUGUGCCGGUGUACUCCUCUCCGGGCGGGCCAGCAUCGGUUUGGGCGGCUGGUGAAAGGCCCCGGGAAUGUAACACCCUCCGGGGUGCCUUAUAGCCCGGGGUGCCAUGCGGCCAGCCU